AGAUUGCGAUCAGGACACUGCAUGUAGGAAGGACUGUGUAGGUGCCUGAGGAAAUCUGGAGGCAGAAAACCAGUCCUUUCAGUUGUGCCUCUGGAUGAUGGCUGAUCACACCAAAAGGCAGCAGUUGUUGGUAGGGCUUGGGCAAAGCUGCUCUUCCUUUUGGCAGCCUGCUGAGCAGCUGUAGUAAGAGGAAUAUGAAUCACCACUCUGGAUCUCAAGCCUGUCCCAGAGUCCAGCACCUCACACACAACAAGUGGGCAGCUGUCCUCUUGCUGUGAAAUGACAAGAUAUCCUGGCUAUCAAACUGCUGCCUACCGUGUUUCACCAUGAAAGAUGGGAGAGACCCGGGCUGGCAGAUCUUCCACGUAUUGUUCUUUGAUUUCACCUCCCAGUGGAGUCAGAAGGCUCCAUUCUUUAGUGAUAGGGAAGACAUAGCAUUCAUGACAUCAUCAAAGUGAUGGAGACUUAACCCAUCUGGGGCAGAAAUCUGUGAUGUUUGUUAAUGCACAAAAGCAGGCACACUUGUUUCUUUAACUUAUUCUUGUUACGUGCUGGAAAGCCUUGGAAAACCUGGAUGCAGCCUGAGAUCCUGUGGGUCUCACACAGCUUCAUGAGGUGGUGGUCUUAAGGUUCUUCAUAAGAUGCUUAAGACCUAGAAACACAGUUGCAAUUUAAGUAAUCAACAUAUUCACCGUCUUAAGAUUUUGCUCUUCCUUAGGAAAGAUUAAACAAAUGGGGCAGCAGAAAAUGAAAACCUAUAGCAGAUUAUCAGACAAAAGUGACUUAUUUUUGGCUUUAUGCCAACGUGAACCUCUUAUUCAAAACAAAAUUUCAUGUCAGUGUUUGAGCCUUCUAAUUUGAACGCUCAUUUGGCCUUUUAAUAAUGCAGGGGACAAAAAAAUACCCCCAUCAUAACUCUGGUUGCUCAAUUUAACUGGGGUUUCCCAUUAGCUUCUUUCCCAGACUAUUUAUAGAAUAGCAAUUAAGAUUAAUAUAUAGCUGCUUGCAUUUAGUUCCUGGCUCUGCUGGGUUCUGAGCCACUCCCAACCGGACCUGAAUGACUGAGAUAUGAGUUUAUGAGAACUACUGCUGAUAUCAACUGGAGCUAUCUGUCAUGUAGAGGGGCUUACCUUGAAAAAUCUGAGUCGUGUUUUGUUGGUAUCAUUCACAUUUUGUAAUUGUAAGACUGAAGAUAAACAGGGAGCACUUCUCAGUUAAGAGUGCUUCUCAAUCUCCUCUUGUUAAUGAAAAUAUUUCAAAUAAAUGUAAGGGAAUUCCACACUAAAUUCAUUUUUACCUGUUGUUUUGGGGGCAUGUGUUAUCUGUAAGAUUUGAGUGUCUUACACCACUUAAGAAUGGUGAAGUACGAUGAUUGGUUUCUGUUGCUCUUGACUGUUUGCCAGAUUUUAUGGGUUGUAUAUAUGGGCUGGGAUAUAAUUGCUAUCAGUAGAAACUGUGUGCAUGCGGCAGGCAUGGUUUGAGGGCAGUAUAUACUGUUUUGUGGAAUGGACUCUAGUAACAUGUUUAUGGAUACAAAGUCCUCCUUUUGGUGUUGUAAA
Lagopus muta (rock ptarmigan) is the source of this 1559-nucleotide long non-coding RNA. RefSeq lists it as uncharacterized. The record is from RefSeq and is a predicted model, not a curated record. NCBI's taxonomy places the organism in Eukaryota, Metazoa, Chordata, Aves, Galliformes, Phasianidae. The transcript is spliced from 3 exons.